UACGAAGGGUGCAAGCGUUACUCGGAAUUACUGGGCGUAAAGCGUGCGUAGGUGGUUUGUUAAGUCCGAUGUGAAAGUCCUGGGCUCAACCUGGGAAUGGCAUUGGAUACUGGCAGGCUAGAGUGCGGUAGAGGGCAGUGGAAUUCCCGGUGUAGCAGUGAAAUGCGUAGAGAUCGGGAGGAACAUCUGUGGCGAAGGCGACUGCCUGGACCAGCACUGACACUGAGGCACGAAAGCGUGGGGAGCAAACAGG
Molecule: ribosomal RNA, 253 nt
Filed under: uncultured bacterium
Lineage: Bacteria
Description: partial 16S ribosomal RNA
Rfam family: Bacterial small subunit ribosomal RNA
Source: RNAcentral